CACAUGACACGUCGAGCGGUAACAUUUCUAGCUUGCUAGUAAGUAUGACGAGCGGCGGACGGGUGAGUAAUGCUUGGGAAUAUGCCUUAGGGUGGGGGACAACAGUUGGAAACGACUGCUAAUACCGCAUAACGUCUACGGACCAAAGGGGGCUUCGGCUCUCGCCCUUAGAUUAGCCCAAGUGGGAUUAGCUAGUUGGUGAGGUAAUGGCUCACCAAGGCGACGAUCCCUAGCUGGUUUGAGAGGAUGAUCAGCCACACUGGAACUGAGACACGGUCCAGACUCCUACGGGAGGCAGCAGUGGGGAAUAUUGCACAAUGGGCGCAAGCCUGAUGCAGCCAUGCCGCGUGUGUGAAGAAGGCCUUAGGGUUGUAAAGCACUUUCAGUAAGGAGGAAAGGUUAGUAGUUAAUACCUGCUAGCUGUGACGUUACUUACAGAAGAAGCACCGGCUAACUCCGUGCCAGCAGCCCGCGGUAAUACGGGAGGGGGCGAGCCGUUAAUUCGGAAAUUACUGGGCCGUAAAAGCGUACCCAGGCCGGUUUUGUUAA
Molecule: ribosomal RNA, 549 nt
Filed under: Pseudoalteromonadaceae bacterium poc-1-10-23
Lineage: Bacteria; Pseudomonadati; Pseudomonadota; Gammaproteobacteria; Alteromonadales; Pseudoalteromonadaceae
Description: bacterial SSU rRNA
Rfam family: Bacterial small subunit ribosomal RNA
Source: RNAcentral